GACGGAGGGUGCUAGCGUUUUUCGGAAUCACUGGGCGUAAAGGGCGCGUAGGCGGCCUUUGGUGUCGGAUGUGAAAGCCCGGGGCUCAACUCCGGAGGUGCAUCCGAAACUCAAAGGCUGGAGGCCGGAAGAGGAGGGUGGAAUACCCAGUGUAGAGGUGAAAUUCGUAGAUAUUGGGUGGAACACCGGUGGCGAAAGCGGCUCUCUGGUCCGGUCCUGACGCUGAGGCGCGAAAGCGUGGGGAGCAAACAGG
This 253-nucleotide ribosomal RNA is filed under the name uncultured bacterium. RNAcentral's name for it is "partial 16S ribosomal RNA". It matches the Rfam family "Bacterial small subunit ribosomal RNA", at positions 524 to 776 of the family's 1533-position model. The record is from RNAcentral.